AGCUCGUGUCGUGAAAAGUUGGGGUUAAGUCCCCGCAAAGAGCGCAACCCUUUUUCUUUGUUGCCAGCAUUCAGUUGGGCACUCUAAGGGGAAUUCCCGUGACAAACCGGAGGAAGGUGGGGAUGACGUCAAAUUAUUAUGCCCCUUAUGACCUGGGGUACACACGUGGUACAAUGGACAGAACCAAGGGCUGCAAGACCGCAAGGUUUAGCCAAUCCCAUAAAUCUGUUCUCAGUUCGGAUCGCAGUUUGCAACUUGACUGCGUGAAGCUGGAAUCGCUAGUAAUCGCGGAUCAGCAUGCCGCGGUGAAUACGUUCCCGGGCCUUGUACACACCGCCCGUCACACCACGAGAGUUUGCAACACCCGAAGUCGGUGAGGUAACACUUUAGUG
Molecule: ribosomal RNA, 392 nt
Filed under: Bacillus pumilus
Lineage: Bacteria; Bacillati; Bacillota; Bacilli; Caryophanales; Bacillaceae
Description: bacterial SSU rRNA
Rfam family: Bacterial small subunit ribosomal RNA
Source: RNAcentral